This 676-nucleotide ribosomal RNA is filed under the name uncultured organism. Its description in RNAcentral is "bacterial SSU rRNA". It matches the Rfam family "Bacterial small subunit ribosomal RNA", at positions 40 to 761 of the family's 1533-position model. The record is from RNAcentral.
CGGUCUGCUUAACACAUGCAAGUCGAACGGGCUCUUCGGAGCUAGUGGCGGACGGGUGAGUAACGCGUGAGAAUCUGCCUUCAGGAGGGGGAUAACGACUGGAAACGGUCGCUAAUACCCCAUAUGCCUCCGGGUGAAAAGUAAUUCGCCUGAAGAUGAGCUCGCGUCAGAUUAGCUAGUUGGUGGGGUAAGAGCCUACCAAGGCGACGAUCUGUAGCUGGUCUGAGAGGAUGAUCAGCCACACUGGGACUGAGACACGGCCCAGACUCCUACGGGAGGCAGCAGUGGGGAAUUUUCCGCAAUGGGCGCAAGCCUGACGGAGCAAGACCGCGUGGGGGCUCACGGNCUAAUGGUUGUAAACCCCUUUUCUCUGGGAAGAAGACUGACGGUACCAGAGGAAUCAGCCUCGGCUAACUCCGUGCCAGCAGCCGCGGUAAUACGGAAGGAGGCAAGCGUUAUCCGGAAUUAUUGGGCGUAAAGCGUCCGUAGGUGGUUAUUCAAGUCUGCUGUCAAAGCGUGGGGCUUAACUCCAUAGAGGCAGUGGAAACUGAGUGACUAGAGUGCGGUAGGGGUCGAGGGAAUUCCCAGUGUAGCGGUGAAAUGCGUAGAUCUUGGGAAGAACACCAGUGGCGAAAGCGCUCGACUGGGCCUGCACUGACACUGAGGGACGAAAGCU